RNAcentral lists this ribosomal RNA (510 nucleotides) under fungal sp. E14927D. Its description in RNAcentral is "eukaryotic LSU rRNA". The stretch from base 154 to 307 matches the Rfam family "5.8S ribosomal RNA". The record is from RNAcentral. Lineage: Eukaryota; Fungi.
UUACCGAGUUAUUCAACUCAUCAACCCUGUGAACAUACCUAAACGUUGCUUCGGCGGGAAUAGACGGCCCCGUAAAACGGGCCGCCCCCGCCAGAAGACCCUUAACUCUGUUUUUAUAAUGUUUAUUUUGAGUAAAACAAGCAAAUAAAUUAAAACUUUCAACAACGGAUCUCUUGGCUCUGGCAUCGAUGAAGAACGCAGCGAAAUGCGAUAAGUAAUGUGAAUUGCAGAAUUCAGUGAAUCAUCGAAUCUUUGAACGCACAUUGCGCCCGCCAGUAUUCUGGCGGGCAUGCCUGUUCGAGCGUCAUUACAACCCUCAGGCCCCCCUUCGUGGCGUUGGGGAUGGGUGGAGCCCCCCGCCCCCAAUUGCUUGGCGGCAAAUACAGGGGUGCUUACGCUGCUGCUUCCAUCGUGUAGUCGGUAACACGUCGCGACCGGAGAGCGGAGCGCCCACUUCUGAAUGUUGCCCUCUGUUCAGAUAGGAAUACCCGCUGAACUUAAGCAUAUCAA